AACGCACAUUGCGCCCCUUGGCAUUCCGAGGGGCAUGCCCGUUCGAGCGUCAUUAAAUCCAAUCAAGCCUGGCUUGGUAUUGGGCGUCGGGGUCCCCCGCGCCUCAAUUUCACCGGCUGGCCGUCGCCCGUCUUAGCGUUGUGACACACUUCUCGCUACCGAUGGGACCGGACCACGCCGUCAAAACCCUACGAAUUUCAAUCGAAAUUCGAUUAAGGUUGACCUCGGAUCGGGUAGGAAUACCCGCUGAACUUAA
Molecule: unclassified non-coding RNA, 256 nt
Filed under: Bisporostilbella sp.
Lineage: Eukaryota; Fungi; Ascomycota; Sordariomycetes; Microascales
Also listed under: 1 other name
Description: partial contains 5.8S ribosomal RNA, internal transcribed spacer 2, and large subunit ribosomal RNA
Source: RNAcentral